This is a long non-coding RNA of Homo sapiens (human), 427 nucleotides long. RefSeq lists it as uncharacterized. The transcript has 3 exons. NCBI's taxonomy places the organism in Eukaryota, Metazoa, Chordata, Mammalia, Primates, Hominidae. The record is from RefSeq and is a predicted model, not a curated record.
UAGGCCUGGACAGGGAAGUUGCCCUGGCCCUGGAGAAAUCUGAUCUGCAGAACUGCACAAAUGCCUCUAUCCCUCUAAGGGAGAUCUCACACCCUGGCAAGGGGGAAUUUGGACACAAACGGACAUACAAGAAUGCCAUGUGACCCUGAAGGCAGAUAUCAGAUGAUGUUUCUACAAGCCAACAAAAUGCCAAAGAUUACCAGCAAACGACCAGAAGCUACGAUCAAGGAAUGGAACAGAUUCUCUCUCAGAGUCCUCAGAAGGAAGAACCCUGCUGAUACCUUGAUCUCAGACUUCCAGCCUCCAAAACUGGGAGAUGAUGCAUUUCUUUCGCUCCAUGAAGAAAGACAGAGGAAUUGAUGUGUGUUCAAGACUUGAGAGCCAUGGAGAGGAGCUGGUAUCACCACUGCCUGCAGCUCAGGCCCAU